This 468-nucleotide ribosomal RNA is filed under the name uncultured bacterium. RNAcentral describes it as "partial 16S ribosomal RNA". It matches the Rfam family "Bacterial small subunit ribosomal RNA", at positions 36 to 507 of the family's 1533-position model. The record is from RNAcentral.
UCCUCCCUCUUUCUUCGUGCUUAACACAUGCAAGUCGAACGGAAAGGCCCUGCUUUUGUGGGGUGCUCGAGUGGCGAACGGGUGAGUAACACGUGAGUAACCUGCCCUUGACUUUGGGAUAAUUUCAGGAAACUGGGGCUAAUACCGGAUAGGAGCUCCUGCUGCAUGGUGGGGGUUGGAAAGUUUCGGCGGUUGGGGAUGGACUCGCGGCUUAUCAGCUUGUUGGUGGGGUAGUGGCUUACCAAGGCUUUGCCGGGUAGCCGGCCUGAGAGGGUGACCGGCCACAUUGGGACUGAGAUACGGCCCAGACUCCUACGGGAGGCAGCAGUGGGGAAUAUUGCACAAUGGGCGGAAGCCUGAUGCAGCAACGCCGCGUGCGGGAUGACGGCCUUCGGGUUGUAAACCGCUUUCGCCUGUGACGAAGCGUGAGUGACGGUAAUGGGUAAAGAAGCACCGGCUAACUACGUG